UCGGCCCCUCCCGAGUUUGCCUUCCUUCCUAUAAAGGAGAAAGCUUAGUUGAAAAGGAGAAAGCUUUAAGCCAAUUGAAAAAGGCAUGACAGAAGAACCUAGCAAGUUCGGCUUGCUCAACAGAUCCAGUUCUCAGAUGGAGAUGCGGCAUGCACUAGGAGAGUCAUGUAGCAUGCACAGGUUUAGAUGGAAAAUGGAUUUAGCUAGCUUAAUGGAUCCAAGUCCAAGUCUGAUUCUCGGAUGAUAUAUAGCAAGUGUCGAAGUGUCUUGAACUCUCCUUUAAUGUAGUUGUAUAGAUGGUCAACAGGUCAAAGAAUUUAGUUAUCAUAUAAAAGAAUUUAGAAUUUUUUUUGCA
This is a non-coding RNA of Phoenix dactylifera (date palm), 355 nucleotides long. The record is from RefSeq and is a predicted model, not a curated record. NCBI's taxonomy places the organism in Eukaryota, Viridiplantae, Streptophyta, Magnoliopsida, Arecales, Arecaceae.